RNAcentral lists this ribosomal RNA (381 nucleotides) under uncultured archaeon. RNAcentral's name for it is "bacterial SSU rRNA". It matches the Rfam family "Archaeal small subunit ribosomal RNA", at positions 345 to 727 of the family's 1478-position model. The record is from RNAcentral.
AACCUUUACAAUGCACGCAAGUGUGAUAAGGGAACCCCAAGUGAUGAUGCUUUGCAUUGUCUUUUGCUGAGAGUAAAUAUCUCUACGAAUAAGUGGUGGGCAAUACCUGUGCCAGCCGCCGCGGUAACCCAGGAGCCACAAGUGGCAACCGUAUUUAUUGGGCCUAAAGCGUCCGUAGCCGGUCUUGUAAAUUUUCUGUGAAAUCGUUGUGCUUAACAUAACGGCGUGCAGAAAACACUACAAGACUUGGGACCGGGAGGAGUUAGAGGUAUUUCAGGGGGAGCGGUAAAAUGCUAUAAUCCUUGAAGGACCACCUGUGGCGAAGGCGUCUAACUAGAACGGCUCCGACGGUGAGGGACGAAAGCUAAGGGAGCAAUCCGG